This 63-nucleotide transfer RNA is filed under the name Chaetocnema depressa. Its description in RNAcentral is "tRNA-Asp". The record is from RNAcentral. Lineage: Eukaryota; Metazoa; Arthropoda; Insecta; Coleoptera; Chrysomelidae.
AAAAAUUUAGUUAAAUAAUAACAUCAACUUGUCAAGUUGAAAUUAUUGUAUCAAUAAUUUUUA